GGCUUUAUAUUCAUUAGAUGAUUCUAGACUGCAAUUCUAGAGGUGUGGAAUAGACUUCUUACUAAGGCCU
RNAcentral lists this transfer RNA (70 nucleotides) under Spathosternum prasiniferum prasiniferum. RNAcentral describes it as "tRNA-Cys". The record is from RNAcentral. Lineage: Eukaryota; Metazoa; Arthropoda; Insecta; Orthoptera; Acrididae. RNAcentral also lists the same sequence under 1 other name.